GACGAACGCUGGCGGCGUGCCUAAUACAUGCAAGUAGAACGCUGAAGGAGGAGCUUGCUUCUCCGGAUGAGUUGCGAACGGGUGAGUAACGCGUAGGUAACCUGCCUGGUAGCGGGGGAUAACUAUUGGAAACGAUAGCUAAUACCGCAUAACAGUAGAUAUUGCAUGAUAUCUGCUUGAAAGGUGCAAUUGCAUCACUACCAGAUGGACCUGCGUUGUAUUAGCUAGUUGGUGAGGUAACGGCUCACCAAGGCGACGAUACAUAGCCGACCUGAGAGGGUGAUCGGCCACACUGGGACUGAGACACGGCCCAGACUCCUACGGGAGGCAGCAGUAGGGAAUCUUCGGCAAUGGACGGAAGUCUGACCGAGCAACGCCGCGUGAGUGAAGAAGGUUUUCGGAUCGUAAAGCUCUGUUGUAAGAGAAGAACGAGUGUGAGAGUGGAAAGUUCACACUGUGACGGUAUCUUACCGGAAAGGGACGGCUAACUACGUGCCAGCAGCCGCGGUAAUACGUAGGUCCCGAGCGUUGUCCGGAUUUAUUGGGCGUAAAGCGAGCGCAGGCGGUUAGAUAAGUCUGAAGUUAAAGGCUGUGGCUUAACCAUAGUACGCUUUGGAAACUGUUUAACUUGAGUGCAAGAGGGGAGAGUGGAAUUCCAUGUGUAGCGGUGAAAUGCGUAGAUAUAUGGAGGAACACCGGUGGCGAAAGCGGCUCUCUGGCUUGUAACUGACGCUGAGGCUCGAAGGCGUGGGGAGCAAACAGG
Molecule: ribosomal RNA, 763 nt
Filed under: uncultured Streptococcus sp.
Lineage: Bacteria; Bacillati; Bacillota; Bacilli; Lactobacillales; Streptococcaceae
Description: bacterial SSU rRNA
Rfam family: Bacterial small subunit ribosomal RNA
Source: RNAcentral